RNAcentral lists this ribosomal RNA (483 nucleotides) under uncultured bacterium. Its description in RNAcentral is "partial 16S ribosomal RNA". It matches the Rfam family "Bacterial small subunit ribosomal RNA", at positions 30 to 507 of the family's 1533-position model. The record is from RNAcentral.
UUGAACGCUGGCGGCAGGCCUAACACAUGCAAGUCGAGCGGAUGAAGGGAGCUUGCUCCUGGAUUCAGCGGCGGACGGGUGAGUAAUGCCUAGGAAUCUGCCUGGUAGUGGGGGAUAACGUCCGGAAACGGGCGCUAAUACCGCAUACGUCCUGAGGGAGAAAGUGGGGGAUCUUCGGACCUCACGCUAUCAGAUGAGCCUAGGUCGGAUUAGCUAGUUGGUGGGGUAAAGGCCUAUCAAGGCGACGAUCCGUAACUGGUCUGAGAGGAUGAUCAGUCACACUGGAACUGAGACACGGUCCAGACUCCUACGGGAGGCAGCAGUGGGGAAUGUUGGACAAUGGGCGAAAGCCUGAUCCAGCCAUGCCGCGUGCGUGAAGAAGGUCUUCGGAUUGUAAAGCACUUUAAGUUGGGAGGAAGGGCAGUAAGUUAAUACCUUGCUGUUUUGACGUUACCAACAGAAUAAGCACCGGCUAACUUCGUG